GGAUGUGGAAGAUUACCACCUCACAGUGUUCCUGCCUUCACCACAAGCUGUAUCUCGUCCGCCCGAUUCUUCUCUGCCAACAAUCCAUUCCAAAACCUGCAAGGUUUGCUGGAUUCCUGAAGAUGCACACACUUUCACAACCUUAUCCAUCAUGAGACAGCAAGUGUCAGGAAGGAUUAGCUAUACUAGGAUGACUACAGAGUGGACUACAGCAAUGCCCGGGAUCAAAUGUUGAUUGACCAUAAUAUUCAAGUGAGGGUAGCCAGUGCAUUAUUCCACAAGAAGUUUGUCAUCCUUUGUGAAGUGUUUAAGGUCCCAACGACAAGGGUAAGCUUUGAUUGGUAAACCUUGCCUCUCUGCAAGCUAAACCUGUUGUCUGCAUUGAUGCUGCUAUCCAAAUGAGGUUAGUUGGGCAAUCAGAGCCUGGCAACAACUGGAACAGGAUCUCUUCAACGUUGAUUUCACAGAAGUGCUGAUUCAUGUUUACAUUUUACUUAUGCUGCUGCCAAUUUGUUGUAAGUGUACAGUAAUUUAUCUAAUUGCUGCAGUGUGUCACAGUUUCUGUUCACCUCCUGUCUCACAUCCCACAGAGAUGGGUACUGUCAACACAACUGUAUCAGUCUCUCAGUUAAUUCUCGAGACCAAUGUUCCUUGGACAUGUCUGACUGUUGAUGGUGGGACACAAGAACCGACAGGUCUUGGGUCCUGCCGCACACUUUCAGUUCGUGCAUCUGGUAGCACCUUCAUGCCACACUCACUGCCCGACUGUAACAAGCUUCACACAAAGCCUCAAUACUUCUCUGAACAUUAAGGAAAACUUAUUCAAAGCUUUGCCUGCUGUUUCUCUUUUUCUUACAUCACAUGGUGUGGUCGGGCCUAGAAAAGAGAGUAUAUGGAACCAGAUAUUGUGCACUGAGCAGUUAAUAUUAUUACUUGAUACUGAAGUAUGUUGAGUAAAAUAUUCUACUUCUAAACUUAUCAAGUAGCGGUAAAAACAAAAAUAAUAAUGAACACUG
This is a long non-coding RNA of Portunus trituberculatus (swimming crab), 1016 nucleotides long. RefSeq lists it as uncharacterized. The transcript is spliced from 3 exons. NCBI's taxonomy places the organism in Eukaryota, Metazoa, Arthropoda, Malacostraca, Decapoda, Portunidae. The record is from RefSeq and is a predicted model, not a curated record.